AUGUCAGAGCAGCAGGUGCUCGACUGCACGGGCGACACUAGCACCUGCAAGGGUGGCUCCGUCAUCGCCGCCCUACGUUACGUCGCCGCAAGCGGCGGCCUGCAGCCGGAGGCAGCCUACGCGUAUACCGGCCAGCAGGGCGCGUGCCGCAGCGUCAUGCCAAAUUCGGCCGCCUCCGUUGGCGCCCCCUGCUGGGUGGGCCUGAACGGCGAUGAGGACGCGUUGCGGGAGCUGGCUGCCAGCCAACCGGUGGCCGUGGGCGUGGAGGCGGACCCUGACUUUCAGCACUACAAGAGCGGCGUGUUCGUCGGUAGUUCGUCGUGCGGGCAGAACCUGAACCACGCCGUGACGGUGGUGGGGUACGGGGCGGACGGCGGCGGGCAGGAGUACUGGUUGGUGAAGAACCAGUGGGGGACGGGGUGGGGUGAGGGGGGCUAUAUGCGCCUCACGCGCGGGAACGGCGGAAACUGCGGCAUGGCCACCGUUGCCUACUAUCCGACCGUGGACAGCUCUUAA
This 516-nucleotide ribosomal RNA is filed under the name Triticum aestivum (bread wheat). RNAcentral's name for it is "partial small subunit ribosomal RNA". Lineage: Eukaryota; Viridiplantae; Streptophyta; Magnoliopsida; Poales; Poaceae. The record is from RNAcentral.